RNAcentral lists this ribosomal RNA (496 nucleotides) under uncultured bacterium. RNAcentral describes it as "partial 16S ribosomal RNA". It matches the Rfam family "Bacterial small subunit ribosomal RNA", at positions 30 to 523 of the family's 1533-position model. The record is from RNAcentral.
AUUGAACGCUGGCGGAAUGCUUUACACAUGCAAGUCGAACGGUAGAGGGGGCAACCCCUCGAGAGUGGCGAACGGGUGAGUAAUAUAUCGGAACGUGCCCAGUCGUGGGGGAUAACGUAGCGAAAGUUACGCUAAUACCGCAUACGAUCUAAGGAUGAAAGCGGGGGAUCGCAAGACCUCGCGCGAUUGGAGCGGCCGAUAUCAGAUUAGGUAGUUGGUGGGGUAAAGGCUCACCAAGCCAACGAUCUGUAGCUGGUCGAAGAGGACGACCAGCCAGCCUGGAACUGAGACACGGUCCAGACUCCUACGGGAGGCAGCAGUGGGGAAUUUUGGACAAUGGACGCAAGUCUGAUCCAGCCAUUCCGCGUGCAGGAUGAAGGCCCUCGGGUUGUAAACUGCUUUUGUACGGAACGAAAAGGUCUCUCUUAAUACGGGGGACUCAUGACGGUACCGUAAGAAUAAGCACCGGCUAACUACGUGCCAGCAGCCGCGGUAA